This is a long non-coding RNA of Gambusia affinis (western mosquitofish), 939 nucleotides long. RefSeq lists it as uncharacterized. The record is from RefSeq and is a predicted model, not a curated record. The transcript is spliced from 3 exons. NCBI's taxonomy places the organism in Eukaryota, Metazoa, Chordata, Actinopteri, Cyprinodontiformes, Poeciliidae.
CCCUACGCCACCACAGCACGCCCUGGGCCUCCUGUCACUUUAAAUCCAAAUAAGUUGCUGCUGGCCACGCCCCCAAAUCAACGGUGACACUCGCAUUUGAAAACGGCUGCAUCAAAUGUUCAAUUAUUCAACCGUGCAUCUUUGAAAAGCAGAAGUGGAGCCUCCUGCACAACCAGCAGGACUGCAGCAAGUGAUUUCUGGAGGCUAAUGAAAACAGUUGAGUCAAACAGUUGGGCUUUGUUAAUGUUUUUAAGAUUGCUGGUGAAUGUCGUGGCUCUACAUUGCGACCACAUCCUGCAGCGGGCGGUGACGUCCUGCGAGGAUCAGCAGUAAACCCUCGGAUCCGGUUUAUCAGCAGACCGGCUCACAUUCCUCAUCAAAUCUGUCUGACUUUCCUCCUGAGGAAAACAUGAGAUGCUUUUGGUUAGUCAGUCAGUCUGGUCCAUUUUGAGGCCAAACGACGAGUCGGAAUAAAUCAUCUGUUCACUAAAGGGGACAUCAUGCAUUAUCACUGAGUUAAAAUAUAAAAGUGGCUGGACGGUCGACGUCCUGCAUGUUCUAGUAGUGAAAGUUUUAAUAGUUGCUCAUCAGGGCUUCCCCAGUGUUUUAUAAGCCUGGCAGCCACCAGGCUUUGCUUGUCCCCCCACCAGGCUUAGCAUUGCUUAUUUAUUUUAUGUUUUUUAAUGUUUGCUUUUUUAAAUACUGUACUUUGUAGUUGGUGUUCAGAUGUUAAUCUUUCAGUCUUUCAAUAACACAUAAUUAUCAGUUAUCACUCAGAAACACAACGGGCUGCUGGAUGAUUUACUGCUGCGCCCAACCACCAGGUUUUAACCUUAAAACAUGUUAUAUGGUCAAAAUAAUUCGUUGGUCAAAAUUCUAUAUUUUUUACAUGACUAACUUACAAUUUACAUGUAAUCAAGAAACAGGAGAUUGUUUUAA